Gallus gallus (chicken) is the source of this 606-nucleotide long non-coding RNA. The record is from Ensembl. NCBI's taxonomy places the organism in Eukaryota, Metazoa, Chordata, Aves, Galliformes, Phasianidae.
CUGGAGCCCCUAGGCAGGUGGCUGGCUUCCCGGAUGUCCUGGGAGUGCAGCCCCGCUCACAUGCCUCAUCAGAAAUGCACGAACUCAAGGGUGAGCGAGAGGCAGCCUGGAAGGCUCUGGCAAUGAUUUAACUCAAUUAAAGUCUGUGGGAGGGCUCAGCUUCACAUCAUGAGGCAAACACAGGAUGAGUAACUGAUAUAAGACCGAACAGCACUUUCCUUGUGCCUUUUGUCUUUAGAGUGGCGGGAGGUGGAUGAUAUUCCUGCAUCGACAUGGUAAUGCUGGAGCUGGGAAGACUGUGUACAUAAGUGUGGCUGUCACUGAAAUUCUCAACAGGGGGGAUUUUACACAUCUAAUAGAUUUAUCACAUCCAGCACUUUGCCAUUUGACACCCACUUUGCUAUUUAUUUUGCCUCCUCCUUUACACUGCUGUGCAGGAUGAUGCUCCCAUCUCUUUAUAGAUCUUCAAGCUAUCUGGGGAGAGGUGGGGAUUCACCUUCAAAAAAAAAAAUAAAAAAGAUUGUUCCUGUUCUGGUGAAGGACUUGAGUGCCGAUGCAGCUCUAAGCAUGGGAGGAAGUUACGUGUGUUUCAUGAGAUGGCUCACC